RNAcentral lists this ribosomal RNA (70 nucleotides) under Escherichia coli. Its description in RNAcentral is "partial 16S ribosomal RNA". It matches the Rfam family "Bacterial small subunit ribosomal RNA", at positions 1 to 68 of the family's 1533-position model. RNAcentral also lists the same sequence under 50 other names. Lineage: Bacteria; Pseudomonadati; Pseudomonadota; Gammaproteobacteria; Enterobacterales; Enterobacteriaceae. The record is from RNAcentral.
UUAAAUUGAAGAGUUUGAUCAUGGCUCAGAUUGAACGCUGGCGGCAGGCCUAACACAUGCAAGUCGAACG